This 120-nucleotide small nucleolar RNA is filed under the name Echinops telfairi (small Madagascar hedgehog). Its description in RNAcentral is "Small nucleolar RNA SNORA61 (ENSETEG00000025575.1)". Lineage: Eukaryota; Metazoa; Chordata; Mammalia; Afrosoricida; Tenrecidae. The record is from RNAcentral.
CCCCUCAGAUUCCUUCCCCAUCAAACCUAAACAUGGAUCUGAUUGGUUAAAACCAGAGAAAAAGUAAUAGUGAAAAUGACUGGCCUUCUUUUGUGACCUAAAAGUUAGUUUCAAACAGAG